Molecule: long non-coding RNA, 267 nt
Filed under: Equus caballus (horse)
Lineage: Eukaryota; Metazoa; Chordata; Mammalia; Perissodactyla; Equidae
Description: lncRNA (ENSECAG00000049807.1)
Source: RNAcentral
CCUGCAACCUUCUUCAAAGGAAUUCUCUUCAGUUACUAGAGCCACUUCUCAUGGAGAGCUGAAGAUGUCUGAAGUUUACAAAUCCUUGGAGUAGCCAGUAGCCAGCCACUGGUUCAGGAGUAUGAAAGUCUAAUUCCUUUGCCUCCAGCCCCCCCGUACAUAGUUGUAUAUUCUUCGUUGUGGGUCCUUCUAGUUGUGGCAUGUGGGAUGCUGCCUCAGCGUGGUUUGGUGAGCAGUGCCAUGUCCGCACCCAGGAUUCGAACCAAU